CUUGAUCGACCCCAGCAGCAGCGGUUCGGCGCGGUCCUGGCCGUAGGUGGCGAGCAGCGCCUGGGCCUC
This 69-nucleotide antisense RNA is filed under the name Saccharothrix variisporea. RNAcentral's name for it is "Dactylosporangium variesporum ASpks TB sRNA". It matches the Rfam family "ASpks TB sRNA". Lineage: Bacteria; Bacillati; Actinomycetota; Actinomycetes; Pseudonocardiales; Pseudonocardiaceae. The record is from Rfam by way of RNAcentral.